ACUCCUACGGGAGGCAGCAGUGGGGAAUAUUGCACAAUGGGGGAAACCCUGAUGCAGCCAUGCCGCGUGUGUGAAGAAGGCCUUCGGGUUGUAAAGCACUUUCAGUAGGGAGGAAGGUAGUGUAGUUAAUACCUGCAUUAUUUGACGUUACCUACAGAAGAAGCACCGGCUAACUCCGUGCCAGCAGCCGCGGUAAUACGGAGGGUGCGAGCGUUAAUCGGAAUUACUGGGCGUAAAGCGCAUGCAGGCGGCCUGUUAAGUCAGAUGUGAAAGCCCGGGGCUUAACCUCGGAAUUGCAUUUGAAACUGGCAGGCUAGAGUCUUGUAGAGGGGGGUAGAAUUUCAGGUGUAGCGGUGAAAUGCGUAGAGAUCUGAAGGAAUACCAGUGGCGAAGGCGGCCCCCUGGACAAAGACUGACGCUCAGAUGCGAAAGCGUGGGGAGCAAACAGGAUUAGAUACCCU
Molecule: ribosomal RNA, 461 nt
Filed under: uncultured bacterium
Lineage: Bacteria
Description: bacterial SSU rRNA
Rfam family: Bacterial small subunit ribosomal RNA
Source: RNAcentral